GAUGAACGCUGGCGGCGUGCCUAAUACAUGCAAGUCGAGCGAACAGACGAUGAGCGUGCUCCUCUGACGUUAGCGGCGGACGGGUGAGUAACACGUGGAUAACCUACCUAUAAGACUUGGAUAACUUCGGGAAACCGGAGCUAAUACCGGAUAAUAUAUUGAACCGGAUGGUUCAAUAGUUAAUGACGGUUUUGGUGGCACUUAUAGAUGAAUCCGCGCCGCAUUAGCUAGUUGCUAAGGUAACGGCUUACCAAGGCAACGAUGCGUAGCCGACCUGAGAGGGUGAUCGUCCACACGGGAACUGAGACACGGUCCAGACUCCUCCGGGAGGCCGCAGUAGGGAAUCUUCCGCAAUGGGCGAAAGCUUGACGGAGCAAGGCCGAGUGAGUGAUGAAGGUCUUCGGAUCGUAAAACUCUGUUAUUAGGGAAGAACAAAUGUGUAAGUAACUAUGCACGUCUUGACGGUACCUAAUCAGAAAGCCACGGCUAACUACGUG
This 497-nucleotide ribosomal RNA is filed under the name uncultured bacterium. RNAcentral describes it as "partial 16S ribosomal RNA". It matches the Rfam family "Bacterial small subunit ribosomal RNA", at positions 28 to 507 of the family's 1533-position model. The record is from RNAcentral.